Molecule: ribosomal RNA, 407 nt
Filed under: uncultured bacterium
Lineage: Bacteria
Description: partial 16S ribosomal RNA
Rfam family: Bacterial small subunit ribosomal RNA
Source: RNAcentral
AUUGAACGCUGGCGGCAGGCCUAACACAUGCAAGUCGAGCGGAGCGGCGGACGGGUGAGUAAUGCCUAGGAAUCUGCCUGGUAGUGGGGGCUAACGUCCGGAAACGGGCGCUAAUACCGCAUCCUAUCAGAUGAGCCUAGGUCGGAUUAGCUAGUUGGUGGGGUAAAGGCCUACCAAGGCGACGAUCCGUAACUGGUCUGAGAGGAUGAUCAGUCACCAUGGAACUGAGACAAGGGCCAGAAUGCCACGGGAGGCAGCAGGGGGGAAUAUUGGGAAAAGGGGGAAAGCCUGAUCCAGCCAUGCCGCGUGUGUGAAGAAGGUCUUCGGAUUGUAAAGCACUUUAAGUUGGGAGGCGUUACCAACAGAAUAAGCACCGGCUAACUUCGUGCCAGCAGCCGCGGUAAUUC